GAGAGACAAGCUAUCUGCUAUCAGGUCAGUGCAGAGAGACAAGCUAGAUGCUAUCAGGUCAGUGCAGAGAGACAAGCUAGCUGCUAUCAGGUCAGUGCAGAGAGACAAGCUAGAUGCUAUCAGGUCAGUGCAGAGAGACAAGCUAUCUGCU
Long non-coding RNA from Oncorhynchus keta (chum salmon), 151 nucleotides. RefSeq lists it as uncharacterized. The transcript is spliced from 3 exons. The record is from RefSeq and is a predicted model, not a curated record. Lineage: Eukaryota; Metazoa; Chordata; Actinopteri; Salmoniformes; Salmonidae.